UACGUAGGGUGCGAGCGUUAAUCGGAAUUACUGGGCGUAAAGCGUGCGCAGGCGGAUUGUUAAGCAAGAUGUGAAAUCCCCGGGCUUAACCUGGGAAUGGCAUUUUGAACUGGCAGUCUAGAGUGUGUCAGAGGGGGGUGGAAUUCCACGUGUAGCAGUGAAAUGCGUAGAUAUGUGGAGGAACACCAAUGGCGAAGGCAGCCCCCUGGGAUAACACUGACGCUCAUGUACGAAAGCGUGGGUAGCAAACAGGAUUAGAUACCCCCGUAGUCC
This 273-nucleotide ribosomal RNA is filed under the name uncultured bacterium. RNAcentral describes it as "partial 16S ribosomal RNA". It matches the Rfam family "Bacterial small subunit ribosomal RNA", at positions 524 to 796 of the family's 1533-position model. The record is from RNAcentral.